This 492-nucleotide ribosomal RNA is filed under the name uncultured bacterium. RNAcentral describes it as "partial 16S ribosomal RNA". It matches the Rfam family "Bacterial small subunit ribosomal RNA", at positions 29 to 507 of the family's 1533-position model. The record is from RNAcentral.
AGUGAACGCUGGCGGUAGGCCUAGCACAUGCAAGUCGAACGGCAGCACAGUAAGAGCUUGCUCUUACGGGUGGCGAGUGGCGGACGGGUGAGGAAUACAUCGGAAUCUACUUUUUCGUGGGGGAUAACGUAGGGAAACUUACGCUAAUACCGCAUACGACCUACGGGUGAAAGCAGGGGAUCUUCGGACCUUGCGCGAUUGAAUGAGCCGAUGUCGGAUUAGCUAGUUGGCGGGGUAAAGGCCCACCAAGGCGACGAUCCGUAGCUGGUCUGAGAGGAUGAUCAGCCACACUGGAACUGAGACACGGUCCAGACUCUUACGGGAGGCAGCAGUGGGGAAUAUUGGACAAUGGGCGCAAGCCUGAUCCAGCCAUACCGCGUGGGUGAAGAAGGCCUUCGGGUUGUAAAGCCCUUUUGUUGGGAAAGAAAAGCAGCAGGUUAAUACCCCGCUGUUCUGACGGUACCCAAAGAAUAAGCACCGGCUAACUUCGUG